UACGGGGGGAGCAAGCGUUGUUCGGAUUUACUGGGCGUAAAGGGCGCGUAGGCGGUCAGCACAAGUCAGUUGUGAAAUCUCCGGGCUUAACUCGGAAAGGUCAACUGAUACUGUGCGACUAGAGUGCAGAAGGGGCAACUGGAAUUCUCGGUGUAGCGGUGAAAUGCGCAGAUAUUAGGAAGAACACCGGUGGCGAAGGCGGCUCUCUGGAACGGUACUGACGCUGAGACGCGAAAGCGUGGGGAGCGAACAGG
Molecule: ribosomal RNA, 254 nt
Filed under: uncultured bacterium
Lineage: Bacteria
Description: partial 16S ribosomal RNA
Rfam family: Bacterial small subunit ribosomal RNA
Source: RNAcentral